GCCACAUGAUGUUUUCAUUUUGAGAGAUGAGCGCUUUGCACCCUGAUGACCUUAAUCUGUCACCCUUGACUGAUGGCU
This is a small nucleolar RNA of Trichechus manatus latirostris (Florida manatee), 78 nucleotides long. RefSeq annotates it as small nucleolar RNA SNORD83. Lineage: Eukaryota; Metazoa; Chordata; Mammalia; Sirenia; Trichechidae. The transcript has a single exon. The record is from RefSeq and is a predicted model, not a curated record.